RNAcentral lists this unclassified non-coding RNA (212 nucleotides) under Hevea brasiliensis (rubber tree). Lineage: Eukaryota; Viridiplantae; Streptophyta; Magnoliopsida; Malpighiales; Euphorbiaceae. The record is from RNAcentral.
GUGGACUUCAUCUUCAGUCAUAUAUGCAGCCAGGCACUCAGCAGCAGCCUGCAGCAUGCCAUCAGAUACGAUAGGAGAGCCAGAUAGAAGCGUACCGAGCCCAAUACCUGGGAAAAGAUACAUGUUGUUUCCUUGGUUGCAGUGGCCAAUGUGACCAUUCCCAAAAUCGACAUCUUUGAACGGGCUUCCACUUGCAAAUAUGAUGUUUUCAC